This 363-nucleotide long non-coding RNA is filed under the name Mus pahari (shrew mouse). Its description in RNAcentral is "lncRNA (MGP_PahariEiJ_G0003005.1)". Lineage: Eukaryota; Metazoa; Chordata; Mammalia; Rodentia; Muridae. The record is from RNAcentral.
AGAAGGACACAGCCAGAACAGGAAGGGCUCAAAUGGAACCAGAAUCACAGAGAUGAAAACUUACUUCAGAAAACUGCCCAUGUGCGACUGGGAAUCCCCAGGUUCCGGACAGGGUGGUCUCCAUACACAGCGGGAGGAUGCCCUGGAUCUUCUGCCUCUGACCUCAAGCGCUGGGAUUGCCUCCAUUUAGCUGAGUACUGCAGCUCAUGAACUCCUGGGAAUUAACACCCAAGCUUCAUGAGGCUUUUCUGUGUGUCUGGCCGCCUGAGAACACAGCUGACUUGCAUGGUGACCUGACCAGAGCUCUGUCUUAGAUGGCUUCCAUAGUCAUGAUCAGUCAGAGAAGAGGAGACAGGCCCAGAG